Molecule: ribosomal RNA, 466 nt
Filed under: uncultured Sphingobacteriales bacterium
Lineage: Bacteria; Pseudomonadati; Bacteroidota; Sphingobacteriia; Sphingobacteriales
Description: bacterial SSU rRNA
Rfam family: Bacterial small subunit ribosomal RNA
Source: RNAcentral
ACGGGGCCCGCGCAAGCGGUGGAGCAUGUGGUUUAAUUCGAUGAUACGCGAGGAACCUUACCUGGGCUCAAAUGUAUGUUGACGUAUUCUGAAAGGGAUACUUCUUCGGACAAUAUACAAGGUGCUGCAUGGUUGUCGUCAGCUCGUGCCGUGAGGUGUCGGGUUAAGUCCCAUAACGAGCGCAACCCCUAUCAUUAGUUGCCAUCAGGUCAAGCUGGGGACUCUAAUGAAACUGCCUACGCAAGUAGUGAGGAAGGUGGGGAUGACGUCAAAUCAGCACGGCCCUUACGUCCAGGGCUACACACGUGCUACAAUGGCCGGUACAAAGGGCAGCUACCUGGUGACAGGAUGCUAAUCUCAAAAGCCGGUCUCAGUUCGGAUCGGAGUCUGCAACCCGACUCCGCGAAGCUGGAAUCGCUAGUAAUCGCGCAUCAGCCAUGGCGCGGUGAAUACGUUCCCGGGCCUU